CGAAACCAGGUGAUCUACCCUUGGUCAGGUUGAAGUUCAGGUAACACUGAAUGGAGGACCGAACCGACUUACGUUGAAAAGUGAGCGGAUGAACUGAGGGUAGCGGAGAAAUUCCAAUCGAACCUGGAGAUAGCUGGUUCUCUCCGAAAUAGCUUUAGGGCUAGCCUCAAGUGAUGAUUAUUGGAGGUAGAGCACUGUUUGGACGAGGGGCCCCUCUCGGGUUACCGAAUUCAGACAAACUCCGAAUGCCAAUUAAUUUAACUUGGGAGUCAGAACAUGGGUGAUAAGGUCCGUGUUCGAAAGGGAAACAGCCCAGACCACCAGCUAAGGUCCCAAAAUAUAUGUUAAGUGGAAAAGGAUGUGGCGUUGCCCAGACAACUAGGAUGUUGGCUUAGAAGCAGCCAUCAUUUAAAGAGUGCGUAAUAGCUCACUAGUCGAGUGACACUGCGCCGAAAAUGUACCGGGGCUAAACAUAUUACCGAAGCUGUGGAUUGUCCUUUGGACAAUGGUAGGAGAGCGUUCUAAGGGCGUUGAAGCAUGAUCGUAAGGACAUGUGGAGCGCUUAGAAGUGAGAAUGCCGGUGUGAGUAGCGAAAGACGGGUGAGAAUCCCGUCCACCGAUUGACUAAGGUUUCCAGAGGAAGGCUCGUCCGCUCUGGGUUAGUCGGGUCCUAAGCUGAGGCCGACAGGCGUAGGCGAUGGAUAACAGGUUGAUAUUCCUGUACCACCUAUAAUCGUUUUAAUCGAUGGGGGGACGCAGUAGGAUAGGCGAAGCGUGCGAUUGGAUUGCACGUCUAAGCAGUAAGGCUGAGUAUUAGGCAAAUCCGGUACUCGUU
RNAcentral lists this ribosomal RNA (835 nucleotides) under Staphylococcus aureus. RNAcentral describes it as "partial 23S ribosomal RNA". It matches the Rfam family "Bacterial large subunit ribosomal RNA", at positions 716 to 1553 of the family's 2925-position model. Lineage: Bacteria; Bacillati; Bacillota; Bacilli; Caryophanales; Staphylococcaceae. The record is from RNAcentral.